This 334-nucleotide ribosomal RNA is filed under the name uncultured eukaryote. Its description in RNAcentral is "partial 18S ribosomal RNA". It matches the Rfam family "Eukaryotic small subunit ribosomal RNA", at positions 1470 to 1796 of the family's 1831-position model. The record is from RNAcentral.
CCCUUAGAUGUCCGGGGCCGCACGCGCGCUACACUGAAGGAAUCAGCGUGGCUUUCUCCCUGACCCGAAAGGGUUGGGAAACCCGUUGAAUCUCCUUCGUGAUAGGGAUUGGGGCUUGAAAUUGUUCCCCUUGAACGAGGAAUUCCCAGUAAGCGCGAGUCAUAAGCUCGCGUUGAUUACGUCCCUGCCCUUUGUACACACCGCCCGUCGCUACUACCGAUUGAACGGUUUAGUGAGGGCCUCGGAUUGGUCUCGGCCCGCUCUUUACCGGGCGGCGCCGUUGGUCGAGAAGACGCUCGAACUUGAUCGUUUAGAGGAAGUAAAAGUCGUAACA